CUAAGUGUUAAUGUUGUUAAUAAUUUGUGGUAAUUAAAUAAAAUAAAAAAUAUAUAUUGUAUAAAAUUCAUACUUAACAUUGCACAUUAUACUAAAGUUCAUCUGCAGCUUUAAUAUUAAUUCCUCAAAAUCUAUCCCAAUUGGGCUAAAAGAUAUACUACCUUAUUAACAAUUCAACCUACAUAAUUAAAAUUUAAAUAGUAAUAAAUUUAACUCUCAAUGUUUACAUUUUCUAUUAAUUUGGCUCUUAUUCUUUUUUUUUUAGUUAAAUUUAGUCAUUGACCUUUCAAAAAGAGUUAAAUUGUUUUUUCUUAACAAAAAUGCUAACUAAAACACUAAUUUUUUAACGAUGUUGGCAUGACAACCUACAUGUGAUGUGAUGUAUUUAUAACAAAUUAAGCUCUUUAUGCACUUAAAGACCUUGGUUGAGUCUUUUUUUUCAUACAUAGGUUAAAUUUUAUGUUAAUUCAAAAUUUUAGCUUAUUUUAUGUUUAUUUGAAUAAAACAAUAAUUAUAUUCCAUUAGGGACUUAUUUGUGGUACAAGAUUUUUGCAAGGACUUAGUUGAGAAGAAUGAGAAGACAAGUGAGGUUACUAGAGCUAAGGUCAUGACAUCAGCUAUGGAUGUCACAACAUUAUGCACAGUUUAUCAACUAAGGAGCGAACCUUCAACAAUUGUAACCUUAAGUAGUCUGAUGUCAAGGUCGCGACAUUAGUUUUUAGUGUCACAACAUUGCAUGUUCUUCUAAUUUAGCAAUUGGAGCCCACUGAAGUCAAGGUCACGACCACAAAGUCUAAUGUUGCGACAUGGACUGAAUGAUCUAGGCACCUGACUGAUGAGGAUGUCAUGACAUUAAAGCCUAAUAGGGACAUUUCUAAAAGGUCAAUUUGAAGGCAAAGUAGGGUUAAAGCCUUUACAAAUCAGUUUUUAAGUGGGAUAUUUUUGUAAAUGUUAGGUGACGCCACCAGAGGUGCGAACAUCUGGAAUAAAAAUACUGCAGUAAAAAUAUAUAAAAUUAAGCAGCGGUGUCCACAAAUAUACGGGUCAAAUUGUAAUAUCAUUUUUUUACAAUGAAACACUUGAAAAGUAUUCCAAGGAUCCCAAGUGAUUGCAUAUUGGAAAAUUUUAUUAUUAAAUUAAUUACUGAAAAUAAUUACUAAUCUAAUUGAUUCAGAAAUUAAUAGUGUUGAUGAAAAAUUAAAAUAUAAACUAAUUAAAUUAAUUAUCCUAAAAAAUAACCUAAUGGAAUUUAAUUAACCUAAGAUAUCCAAAUGUAAUUUCCUUUUCCUAGUGUUAACAAUGGGAGCUCACAGCCUAUGAUCGAUUAAAACCCUAAUUAUCAAUUAAGUAGCUAAUUACUCUCAACUGAGCUAUUUACUACCCUUAGCAAAGAAUACUUGUCACACCCUCUUUUGGUGACCUAGUACUAUUUGGGAGAUUGCGUUGGCGAGACCGCCUAAGUCGUGAGACUUAGAUGGGUUAACUUUGGCAAACUUUUUGGUGAAGUAUUUUGCCGAGUUUGCGGAAUCUUAUUUCGAGGUUGACAAGAUUCUUAUUUGGAAAACUCUCCUACUAAUAAUUCUGCCACUCGUGUUUUGUAUUAUUGCAGAGAUAAUUGUAAUGGUUAGUAGGAAACGUUUAUGUCAUCUAGCAUGCUAAUGGAGGUAACAUGUCAAUAACUAGGACACCUGUAAAAUCUCAUAAGAUGUGAUUAAUUAGUGGAAGAAUGUGAGUAUGAUUAUUGAUUAAAUUUUAACCCUGAUUAGGAUUUGGGUUAGAGAUAGCUAUAAAUAGGACAACCUGGUAGUGGAGAGAAAAUUUCCACUUCAUCUUUUUUGCUUGCCUUCGUUAUCAUUGAAGAAAACCCAGAGGUGUUCUUUAUCGUUAACAAAAAAGUUGUCUAUCAAACUUAUAGAAAAUUCUUUCCUUGAGUUUUCUGCUGGUAAGUUCUUAAAUCCUGAUUCAUGUUUUACCAGGUAGAAAGGAGUGUUGUAAGAGUUGUUCAAUAGGGUUUCCAUCUAAAUACUGGAUAGGAAGAAAACUUCUAUCCCGGAACUAUUUACAUGUUUAUCGAUUCAUGUUAUUUUAUUAAGUUUUGGUUGUUCUUAUAUUUAAAGAAGUCAUCCGAUUAUUUUAAUCAAGGAUAUGGGAGAAGGUCUUAAUGCUAAAGGGAAAGAACCCGUUGAGUAGGAAGCUCUAAGUGAAGGUUUCUGGUGAGUUCUUUUGUACCUUAAGUUGUUAUCUGCAUUAUUAUGUUUAAAUUUACCUGCUGUAUAUCCAGGUAAGUAGCUUUAACCUUUGGUCCUGGUACAAAGCAAGUAAAUCACAAAAGAAAUUGUGCCCUUGAACAAAGCAAUCAAGACAGUGACACAUUCCAAAUAUUAGCAUUAGAUAGGUUUAUUUCACAUUUUAGCAUGGCUACCUACAACCCUAAUUGGAUACAUAAGAACUGCCUAAAUCAAUAUAUGCCAAAAACCUUAUGACUCAAAA
RNAcentral lists this long non-coding RNA (2490 nucleotides) under Gossypium barbadense (sea-island cotton). RNAcentral describes it as "long non-coding RNA (GBAR_LNC017138)". The record is from RNAcentral. Lineage: Eukaryota; Viridiplantae; Streptophyta; Magnoliopsida; Malvales; Malvaceae.